This 644-nucleotide ribosomal RNA is filed under the name fungal sp. ARIZ B089. RNAcentral describes it as "eukaryotic LSU rRNA". The stretch from base 258 to 411 matches the Rfam family "5.8S ribosomal RNA". Lineage: Eukaryota; Fungi. The record is from RNAcentral. RNAcentral also lists the same sequence under 6 other names.
UGGAAGUAAAAGUCGUAACAAGGUCUCCGUUGGUGAACCAGCGGAGGGAUCAUUACCGAGUUUACAACUCCCAAACCCAAUGUGAACGUUACCAAACUGUUGCCUCGGCGGGAUCUCUGCCCCGGGUGCGUCGCAGCCCCGGACCAAGGCGCCCGCCGGAGGACCAACCUAAAACUCUUAUUGUAUACCCCCUCGCGGGUUUUUUUAUAAUCUGAGCCUUCUCGGCGCCUCUCGUAGGCGUUUCGAAAAUGAAUCAAAACUUUCAACAACGGAUCUCUUGGUUCUGGCAUCGAUGAAGAACGCAGCGAAAUGCGAUAAGUAAUGUGAAUUGCAGAAUUCAGUGAAUCAUCGAAUCUUUGAACGCACAUUGCGCCCGCCAGUAUUCUGGCGGGCAUGCCUGUCCGAGCGUCAUUUCAACCCUCGAACCCCUCCGGGGGGUCGGCGUUGGGGAUCGGCCCUCCCUUAGCGGGUGGCCGUCUCCGAAAUACAGUGGCGGUCUCGCCGCAGCCUCUCCUGCGCAGUAGUUUGCACACUCGCAUCGGGAGCGCGGCGCGUCCACAGCCGUUAAACACCCAACUUCUGAAAUGUUGACCUCGGAUCAGGUAGGAAUACCCGCUGAACUUAAGCAUAUCAAUAAGCGGAGG